This 334-nucleotide long non-coding RNA is filed under the name Sarcophilus harrisii (Tasmanian devil). Its description in RNAcentral is "lncRNA (ENSSHAG00000022661.1)". The record is from RNAcentral. Lineage: Eukaryota; Metazoa; Chordata; Mammalia; Dasyuromorphia; Dasyuridae.
AAACUGAAAACAGAGGUUGACACACAGAUCACACAAAUAAGGCUAAGCAUCCCUGGAACUUUCAAGUGUUCUUCACAUGACAGGCUCCCAGUUUCUUCACCAUCGUUACCUACUUUUGAGUGUGCUCCAGUGGUCAAAGUCCCUUUUAAAUUGUGGUAUCUUGAAGAAAGUACUCCAAAUACAAUCUGCUAAGAAAAGAAGAAGAGAAAGAAAAAAAGAGAGAGAGAAAGAAAGAAUGAAGAAAGAUAAAAAGAAAGAAGGAAAGAAAAAAAGAAAGGAAAAAAAAGAAAAGGAGAAAGGAAGAAAGAAAAAGAGUCCUGCAUGAGAGAGAAGG